RNAcentral lists this ribosomal RNA (878 nucleotides) under Aspergillus flavipes. RNAcentral describes it as "LSU rRNA". It matches the Rfam family "Eukaryotic large subunit ribosomal RNA", at positions 37 to 930 of the family's 3401-position model. The record is from RNAcentral. Lineage: Eukaryota; Fungi; Ascomycota; Eurotiomycetes; Eurotiales; Aspergillaceae.
AGCAUAUCAAUAAGCGGAGGAAAAGAAACCAACCGGGAUUGCCUCAGUAACGGCGAGUGAAGCGGCAAGAGCUCAAAUUUGAAAGCUGGCCCCUCCGGGGUCCGCAUUGUAAUUUGCAGAGGAUGCUUCGGGUGCAGCCCCCGUCUAAGUGCCCUGGAAUGGGCCGUCAGAGAGGGUGAGAAUCCCGUCUGGGAUGGGGUGCCUGUGCCCGUGUGAAGCUCCUUCGACGAGUCGAGUUGUUUGGGAAUGCAGCUCUAAAUGGGUGGUAAAUUUCAUCUAAAGCUAAAUAUUGGCCGGAGACCGAUAGCGCACAAGUAGAGUGAUCGAAAGAUGAAAAGCACUUUGAAAAGAGAGUUAAACAGCACGUGAAAUUGUUGAAAGGGAAGCGCUUGCGACCAGACUCGCCUCCGGGGUUCAGCCGGCAUUCGUGCCGGUGUACUUCCCCGGGGGCGGGCCAGCGUCGGUUUGGGCGGCCGGUCAAAGGCCUCCGGAAUGUAGCGCCCUUCGGGGCGCCUUAUAGCCGGGGGUGCAAUGCGGCCAGCCUGGACCGAGGAACGCGCUUCGGCUCGGACGCUGGCAUAAUGGUCGUAAACGACCCGUCUUGAAACACGGACCAAGGAGUCUAACAUCUACGCGAGUGUUCGGGUGUCAAACCCGUACGCGCAGUGAAAGCGAACGGAGGUGAGAGCCCCCCCGUGGGGCGCAUCAUCGACCGAUCCUGAAGUCUUCGGAUGGAUUUGAGUAAGAGCGUAGCUGUGGGGACCCGAAAGAUGGUGAACUAUGCCUGAAUAGGGCGAAGCCAGAGGAAACUCUGGUGGAGGCUCGCAGCGGUUCUGACGUGCAAAUCGAUCGUCAAAUUUGGGUAUAGGGGCGAAAGA